GGGACCAUGGGCUCAGUGGUAGAGCAUGUGGCUUUGCAUGCAGAAGGUUCCAGGUUCAGUCCCUGUUAGCAUCUCCA
This is a non-coding RNA of Podarcis lilfordi (Lilford's wall lizard), 77 nucleotides long. Lineage: Eukaryota; Metazoa; Chordata; Lepidosauria; Squamata; Lacertidae. The record is from the annotation of a GenBank genome assembly.